CAUUGUUAGCACAUUCUACAGUUAUUCUUGAGAACUAUAGACAAGAAAUGAGAGAGAACUGGGUUAGUCUAAGGCCACAUGGAGAUCUGUCUUGCACUAUGUUGACUUAGCUUAGAGGCCCCGGCUAGAGACGAGUCAGGCCCUUUUCUUGUGAGAUCAAUAAAGUCCGAUCCUCAAUUACCUCCUUGUUUGUCUCUCAGACCCUUGGCCACUAUUCAGUCGCCAUAUGUGCCUCAGAGCCAGGUACCAGACAACCAGGAACAAGCCCACUGAAAUCAUUUCAAGUCAUCAAGCCUGAGCCUGUUUGCCCUGCCUAACCCUUUCAUUCCUGCAGAAACCACAAAAAAAGGUUUUCGCCUACUGCUGCCCUUUAUCCCUCUGGCUCAACUCUGACGCUGGUGCUCCCACGAGUGGCCCCCUGUGGCAUGGCAUGCUGUGUUCUCCCCAGGAAGCUGCAGGAGGAUUGCUUGAGCCUAGGAGUUUGAGACCAGCCUGGGGAACACGGCAAGACUGCAUCUCUACAAAAAUACCAAAAUUAAUCAGCCAUGGUGGCACACGCCUGGGUUCGCACCAGCUACUGGGAAGGCUGAGGCAAGAGGAUUGCUUGAGCCCGGGAGGUCAAGGCUGCAGUGAGCCAUGUUCACACCACUGUAUCCUAACCUGGGUGACAGACUUUAGGAGACAGGAUGUCUGAGGUCAGAAGAUCCCCCUGAUGACCAAACCAGUUAAGACUGAUGAGAUUCAAGAUCCAGCUCACUUGGCCUUUGAAGAACCUCUAACUUCAUUAUAAUUUAUUUUCCAUACUAAAUGACACUCCCACCAGUGCCAUGACAGUUUAUAAUCACCAUGACAAUGACCAGAAGAAAUUAUGAAAGGACGAAAAGGAAGACCACAACUCCGGUUCUGAGGAAUUCUCCACCCAUUCCCAGAAAAGACAAGAAUACUCCUCCCCUUGCUUUUAAUGCCCAAACCCUUCAUUAAAGAUGCCCCAUAUCUGUGA
Pan troglodytes (chimpanzee) is the source of this 1000-nucleotide long non-coding RNA. RefSeq lists it as uncharacterized. The record is from RefSeq and is a predicted model, not a curated record. Lineage: Eukaryota; Metazoa; Chordata; Mammalia; Primates; Hominidae. The transcript has 3 exons.